This 312-nucleotide long non-coding RNA is filed under the name Populus trichocarpa (black cottonwood). RNAcentral describes it as "long non-coding RNA (PTRI_LNC002275)". Lineage: Eukaryota; Viridiplantae; Streptophyta; Magnoliopsida; Malpighiales; Salicaceae. The record is from RNAcentral.
GUUUUGUUAUGUUUUUUUCUCAAAUUUUCUUUGUCAAUUUUAUUUUUUCAAUAUUAAGUUGGUUAAGAAUUGCAAUUAUAAGUAAAUACAAGUUUUUCCUCACAAAACACUAUGGAUUAAUACAGUUUUUCCUCACAUGGUUUUUUUCCAGUUUCUUUUGUGUUUUUUUUUUUGUAAUAUUUUUUUUCAAAAAUAUCUUCGUCGAUUUUUUUUUUAUAUUGAGUUGGUUAGAAUUUAACUUUGUAAUAAAACUUAAUCAUGUGAGGAAAGCACUGUAACUUUCCUUACAAAACAUUGUGGAUUGCUAUAGUG